This 127-nucleotide small RNA is filed under the name Klebsiella aerogenes. RNAcentral describes it as "isrN Hfq binding RNA". It matches the Rfam family "isrN Hfq binding RNA", at positions 18 to 143 of the family's 143-position model. Lineage: Bacteria; Pseudomonadati; Pseudomonadota; Gammaproteobacteria; Enterobacterales; Enterobacteriaceae. The record is from RNAcentral.
GGUGGGGGUUCGGGCUGCUAAAAAUAGACUGCCCUACUCAGUGAUAACUUCCUGCAUGCCCGGCAGAUGCUCAUGCCAAAUUUUUGCGAUCAGAUAGCCCAUAAGUUCACGUUUUAUCGUUGGUUUU